Molecule: ribosomal RNA, 726 nt
Filed under: fungal sp.
Lineage: Eukaryota; Fungi
Description: eukaryotic LSU rRNA
Rfam family: Eukaryotic large subunit ribosomal RNA (bases 501-726)
Source: RNAcentral
UUACCGAGUGAGGGCCCUCUGGGUCCAACCUCCCACCCAUGUUUAUUGUACCUUGUUGCUUCGGCGGGCCCGCCUCACGGCCGCCGGGGGGCUUCUGCCCUCUGGCCCGCGCCCGCCGAAGACACCAUUGAACACUGUCUGAAGAUUGCAGUCUGAGCAAUUAGCUAAAUAAGUUAAAACUUUCAACAACGGAUCUCUUGGUUCCGGCAUCGAUGAAGAACGCAGCGAAAUGCGAUACGUAAUGUGAAUUGCAGAAUUCAGUGAAUCAUCGAGUCUUUGAACGCACAUUGCGCCCCUUGGUAUUCCGGGGGGCAUGCCUGUCCGAGCGUCAUUGCUGCCCUCAAGCACGGCUUGUGUGUUGGGCCCCGUCCUCCUUCCCGGGGGACGGGCCCGAAAGGCAGCGGCGGCACCGCGUCCGGUCCUCGAGCGUAUGGGGCUUUGUCACCCGCUCUUGUAGGCCCGGCCGGCGCUUGCCGACAACCAUCAAUCUUUUUUCAGGUUGACCUCGGAUCAGGUAGGGAUACCCGCUGAACUUAAGCAUAUCAAUAAGCGGAGGAAAAGAAACCAACAGGGAUUGCCUCAGUAACGGCGAGUGAAGCGGCAAGAGCUCAAAUUUGAAAGCUGGCCCCCUCGGGGUCCGCAUUGUAAUUUGCAGAGGAUGCUUUCGGGAGUGGCCCCCAUCUAAGUGCUCUGGAACGGGCCGUCAUAGAGGGUGAGAAUCCCGUA